AGUGAGCGCUGGCGGUAGGCCUAACACAUGCAAGUCGAACGGCAGCACAGUAAGAGCUUGCUCUUACGGGUGGCGAGUGGCGGACGGGUGAGGAAUACAUCGGAAUCUACUUUUUCGUGGGGGAUAACGUAGGGAAACUUACGCUAAUACCGCAUACGACCUACGGGUGAAAGCAGGGGAUCUUCGGACCUUGCGCGAUUGAAUGAGCCGAUGUCGGAUUAGCUAGUUGGCGGGGUAAAGGCCCACCAAGGCGACGAUCCGUAGCUGGUCUGAGAGGAUGUUCAGCCACACUGGAACUGAGACACGGUCCAGACUCCUACGGGAGGCAGCAGUGGGGAAUAUUGGACAAUGGGCGCAAGCCUGAUCCAGCCAUACCGCGUGGGUGAAGAAGGCCUUCGGGUUGUAAAGCCCUUUUGUUGGGAAAGAAAAGCAGCAGGUUAAUACCCCGCUGUUCUGACGGUACCCAAAGAAUAAGCACCGGCUAACUUCGUG
Molecule: ribosomal RNA, 492 nt
Filed under: uncultured bacterium
Lineage: Bacteria
Description: partial 16S ribosomal RNA
Rfam family: Bacterial small subunit ribosomal RNA
Source: RNAcentral